UACAGAGGGUGCGAGCGUUAAUCGGAAUUACUGGGCGUAAAGCGUGCGUAGACGGUUAUUUAAGUCGGGUGUGAAAGCCCCGGGCUCAACCUGGGAAUUGCAUUCGAGACUGAAUAGCUAGGGUACGGUAGAGGGAAGCGGAAUUUCCGGUGUAGCGGUGAAAUGCGUAGAUAUCGGAAGGAACAUCAGUGGCGAAAGCGGCCUCCUGGACCAGUACCGACGUUCAGGCCCGAAAGCGUGGGGAGCAAACAGG
Molecule: ribosomal RNA, 253 nt
Filed under: uncultured bacterium
Lineage: Bacteria
Description: partial 16S ribosomal RNA
Rfam family: Bacterial small subunit ribosomal RNA
Source: RNAcentral